RNAcentral lists this unclassified non-coding RNA (158 nucleotides) under uncultured fungus. RNAcentral describes it as "sequence contains ITS1". The record is from RNAcentral. Lineage: Eukaryota; Fungi.
UUGAUUUUAAUGUUUUCAUUCAGACGACAUACGAGUUUCUGCAUAAAAGCGACCACCCCAAAGGGAGGCCGAAGCACGAUAUUGGCUUCCACAUGUUUUAAGGGUAGAAGGUCAAAGACCAUUCAAUAAUGAUCCCUCCGCAGGUUCACCUACGGAAA